CCUACGGGUGGCAGCAGUGGGGAAUAUUGGACAAUGGGGGGAACCCUGAUCCAGCCAUGCCGCGUGUGUGAAGAAGGCCCUCGGGUUGUAAAGCACUUUCAGUGAGGAAGAACGCCUGGUGGUUAAUACCCAUCAGGAAAGACAACACUCACAGAAGAAGCACCGGCUAACUCCGUGCCAGCAGCCGCGGUAAUACGGAGGGUGCGAGCGUUAAUCGGAAUUACUGGGCGUAAAGCGCGCGUAGGUGGCUUGAUAAGCCGGUUGUGAAAGCCCCGGGCUCAACCUGGGAACGGCAUCCGGAACUGUCAAGCUAGAGUGCAGGAGAGGAAGGUAGAAUUCCCGGUGUAGCGGUGAAAUGCGUAGAGAUCGGGAGGAAUACCAGUGGCGAAGGCGGCCUUCUGGACUGACACUGACACUGAGGUGCGAAAGCGUGGGUAGCAAACAGGAUUAGAUACCCUAGUAGUC
Molecule: ribosomal RNA, 465 nt
Filed under: Vreelandella stevensii
Lineage: Bacteria; Pseudomonadati; Pseudomonadota; Gammaproteobacteria; Oceanospirillales; Halomonadaceae
Description: partial 16S ribosomal RNA
Rfam family: Bacterial small subunit ribosomal RNA
Source: RNAcentral